CUAAGAAUCCCGCAAUGGGCGAAAGCCUGACGGAGCAAUCUUGCAUGGGCGAUUAAGGUUUUCGGACUGUAAAGCCCUUUUGCCAGGAAAGAAUAAGUCAAUCAGGAAAUGGAUUGAUGAUGACGGUACCUGUAGAAUAAGUCCCGGCUAAUUACGUG
RNAcentral lists this ribosomal RNA (158 nucleotides) under uncultured bacterium. RNAcentral describes it as "partial 16S rRNA". It matches the Rfam family "Bacterial small subunit ribosomal RNA", at positions 355 to 507 of the family's 1533-position model. The record is from RNAcentral.